GAAAUGCGAUAAGUAGUGUGAAUUGCAGAAUUCAGUGAAUCAUCGAAUCUUUGAACGCACAUUGCGCCCCUCGGUAUUCCGUGGGGCAUGCCUGUCCGAGCGUCAUCUACACCCUCAAGCUCUGCUUGGUGUUGGGCGUCUGUCCCGCCUCCGCGCGCGGACUCGCCCCAAAUGCAUUGGCAGCGGUUCCUUGCCCCCCUCUUUGCGCAGCACAUUGCCAUUCGAGGCGGCGGCGGCCCGCGUCCAACAAGCUCAACCCCCCCGUCUUUGACCUCGGAUCAGGUAGGGAUACCCACUGAACUUAAGC
This 307-nucleotide unclassified non-coding RNA is filed under the name plant metagenome. RNAcentral's name for it is "partial contains 5.8S ribosomal RNA, internal transcribed spacer 2, and large subunit ribosomal RNA". The stretch from base 1 to 105 matches the Rfam family "5.8S ribosomal RNA", at positions 50 to 154 of the family's 154-position model. The record is from RNAcentral.